Long non-coding RNA from Lates calcarifer (barramundi perch), 1168 nucleotides. RefSeq lists it as uncharacterized. The transcript is spliced from 4 exons. Lineage: Eukaryota; Metazoa; Chordata; Actinopteri; Centropomidae. The record is from RefSeq and is a predicted model, not a curated record.
CCACUUCGUCCAUGACAUUAUCGCAGAGACAUGGUCCAUGAUUGGAGAGACAUUGUCGAGGAUGAGGGAGACAUUAUGCACGAUCAGGAACAUUGUCCAUGACUUGCAGAGACGUGCAAAAGUUGCAGUGACGGAGUUCCCCAAUUUGAAUGCAUCGUCCUUGACCAGAGAGACUUUGUCGAUUAUUACAGAGACGUAUUCCAUGAUCACAGAGAGGCUGUGUACAAAGAAGAAGUUCUUUGAGACCAGGACACAGGCCUCCAGGUGUCACCACUUCAUCCACGACAUCGUCCAAGAUCGCAGAGACAUGGUCCAUGAUCGGAGAGACAUUGUUGAGGAUGAGGGAGACAUCGUCCUCGAUCAGAGACAUUGUCCACGAUCGCAGAGACCUUGUCAAAGAUGAGAGAGAUGUUGUCUAUGAUCAGAGACAUUGUCCCAUGCUUCGUAGAGACCUUGCGAUAGAAUCGGCGGAGACGGGGGUCACCGAUUUGACGGCACUGCCCGCGAUCAUGGAGACAUUGUCGAUGAUCACAGAGACGCCGUCUAUGAUCUCAGAGACAUCGUCCACGAUCGCAAAAACAUUGGCCAUGAUCUCAGAGACUUUGUCCAUAAUCUCAGAGACAUUGUCCACGAUCACAGAGACGUAGUCCACAAUCACAGAGAGUCUUUGUAAAACGAAGAAGUUCUUUGAGACCAGGACAGAGGCCUCCAGGAGGUGAUGACAGAGACGUAGUCCAUGAUCAUAGAACGUCUCCGUACAAUGAAGAAGUUCUUGGAGACCAGGACAGAGGCCCCAAGGAGGAGAAGACGACAGCCACUGAACACCUGCAGUGGAUGAAAGAAAACAAGUGUUACAAAGCUGUUAACUAGAUAAAAGACUCCCACCAUCUAACUGCUGUAAAUCUGUGUUGGUUUUCUGUUGUCUGAGUGAAAACACUUUGUUUUUCUCUUUCUUUGUAAUGUAGUCAUGGGCACAUUUUCCAAAGAGUAAUGUUUCUUUAUUAAACACCUGUGAGAACAUUCAACUGCUUAUGAUACAACUAUUAAUGAAUAAUUGCAUCACAAGCAGUUAAAUGAUCAUAAAGAUGCUUUGUAGACAUGUUUAUCUUGAGUUAAUGUUGUUAUAAGCACAUUUAUCUAGAAUGUGCUUAUAACAACAUUAACUCUA